UACGGAGGAUGCAAGCGUUAUCCGGAAUGAUUGGGCGUAAAGCGUCCGCAGGUGGCUGUGUAAGUCUGCUGUUAAAGAGCAAGGCUCAACCUUGUAAAGGCAGUGGAAACUACACGGCUAGAGUGCGUUCGGGGCAGAGGGAAUUCCUGGUGUAGCGGUGAAAUGCGUAGAGAUCAGGAAGAACACCGGUGGCGAAGGCGGCUUCCUGGACCGACACUGACGCUGAGGCGCGAAAGCUAGGGGAGCAAACGGG
Molecule: ribosomal RNA, 253 nt
Filed under: uncultured bacterium
Lineage: Bacteria
Description: partial 16S ribosomal RNA
Rfam family: Bacterial small subunit ribosomal RNA
Source: RNAcentral